RNAcentral lists this ribosomal RNA (253 nucleotides) under uncultured bacterium. Its description in RNAcentral is "partial 16S ribosomal RNA". It matches the Rfam family "Bacterial small subunit ribosomal RNA", at positions 524 to 776 of the family's 1533-position model. The record is from RNAcentral.
UACGAAGGGGGCUAGCGUUGCUCGGAAUCACUGGGCGUAAAGGGUGCGUAGGCGGGUCUUUAAGUCAGGGGUGAAAUCCUGGAGCUCAACUCCAGAACUGCCUUUGAUACUGAAGAUCUUGAGUCCGGGAAAGGUGAGUGGAACUGCGAGUGUAGAGGUGAAAUUCGUAGAUAUUCGCAAGAACACCAGUGGCGAAGGCGGCUCACUGGCCCGGUACUGACGCUGAGGCACGAAAGCGUGGGGAGCAAACAGG